GUGUGGUUGGUUGGUGGUUGAUGGCGUUCUAUAAGUUACAAUUCACCCAUUCAUUCCCCGCACA
Molecule: non-coding RNA, 64 nt
Organism: Ciona intestinalis (vase tunicate)
Lineage: Eukaryota; Metazoa; Chordata; Ascidiacea; Phlebobranchia; Cionidae
Source: RefSeq